UCCUUCUCUCUCUCUCUCUCUCUUCGCCGUGCCUUCUGGGUUUGUCUUGGUUAUAGGAGAUGGAGUCAAAUCUCGAUGGUGAUUGGUUUGACGUGGUUUGUCCAUGAGAUGGUGGACGUGGACUUAGAUGGUGGACCUGGACUUUAUUCUUGAAAAAUUUUCCGAGAAAGAUUUCAAAUUUUAGAACCUAAUUAGAGGACGGACAUUGACCCAAAAUUUAUUUUUUUACCCAGUAUAUGAACAUAUGGCAGGGUUUAAGCUUAUAAACUAGUUAGCAAUUCAAGGAGAUAUUUAUUGAGAUCCAGUGCUUAAUUAGAAGUCCCACAAAUAUGGAGCCUGGAGUCUAUCGUGCAGCUAUCUCAGAUGAUCGGGAUUUCUUCACGAAACCCACCUUUGAUGCAAGUGUCGUGCUCCAGCAGGUUACAUCCCAGCAACAAGACACCAUUCUCCAUGUUGCAGCAAAAUUCAAACGGAAGGAGAUAGCGGCAAUGAUCACGAAUUUGAUACCAUCACUUGUGUACAAAAAAAAUUCAAACGGUGACACCCCACUUCAUAUUACAGCGAGGUUAGGGAGUUUAGAGGUUGUACAGGUCCUAAUAAGUUAUGCCUGUUGUGAAAGGAUGGAACUUGAAGCCAACGAAAAUCUAUUGAGGAUGGUGAAUAUAGACAGUAACACAGCACUUCAUGAAGCUGCGAGGAAAGGUCACUUUGAGGUUGUGGUUUCAUUGAUUCAGAAGGAUCCAGGAUUGGCAAUGUUGACAAAUAAUGCAGGGGAAUCUCCACUAUUCCUCGCUGUGGAUAAAAUGCAUUUCAGAAUUGCCAGCUACAUCUUAGAAACUGUCCCAGGUUGCUCUUUCCAGGGAAGGAACAAUAUGAAUGCCUUGCAUGCAGCAGUCAUUCGCUCAUAUUUCAAUGGUGAAAAAUUGAACCUGGAUGUCACACAGUUCAGGAAUCCUCUCUUUUUUGUUGUCCACCUUUCAGUCAGGGACUGUAUCAGGUUCAUUCGCUUUGGAGUAACAAAAUUGCUCAGAAGGGACAUCCACCAGGACCAUGUUAAUCUUUCAGAUUUCAUUAAACAGUUGAUUAAAAAGCAUCCGUCUACUAUAUUAGAAGCCAACAACAUUGGAUGGACUCCUUUUCACUAUGCAGCAUACGCUGGCCAGGAAGCCAUUGUGAAAGAGUUGCUGUUAGCUGACAAUUCCAUAGCUUUCACUAAAAAUGGGGAGGGCAUGGCUGGCCUUCAUGUCGCUGCAAGAGAAGGGCACGUGCCUGUUCUGAAAAAGAUUGCAGAAACUUGUCCAGACAUUUGGGAUUUGAAAGACAACAAUGGCCGGACUGCUCUUCAUGUUGCAGCUGAAAGUGGAAAGGCAAACGCUGUCAAGUUUAUUUUGAAACAGGUCACUGAGGAUCAUAUAAAUGACCAAGAUAAUGAAGGAAACACAGCAUUGCAUCUAGCGACUUUGCAGGGACAUGGGGAGAUCUUUCUAUUGCUGACAAAUGAUAGAAGGGCAGACAAGACAAUCAUGAACAAGGAUUGUCUUGCUGUUGUGGACAUCAUUGAUUCAAGGAGGGUACUCAACUUUUUCAGACAGGGUUGGAUGAUAUUUCAAUUGUCAAUUGCUGGUGGUCUAGCAAGUUUAGAGCAAGGUCGCAACAAGAAAAUUGAAGCAAGAACAGAGCGUGAAAAGGGCGUUGUCGAAAAUCAUGGGGAUGAAGAGGUUGAAGAUAAAAGAUUAAAACCAGAGGGACCAGAAGUUUUAUCCUUUAACCAUCUUAGGAAUAUGGCUAGCACCAAUAUAUUGGUAUCAACUCUCAUAGCCACUGUCUCAUUUGCAGCAGCUUUCACUGUUCCUGGAGGAUUCAAAAAUGAGAAACCUGAUGAAGGCAUGCCAGUUUUUAUCAAGAAAGCAUCCUUUAGAGCAUUUGUGGUGGGUAAUACCAUAGCCUUUUCUUGCUCGAUUGCAUCGGUGAUUUUUCAUAAUUUCACUGCCUUGUUGGUGAAACGAAACACCAUUGCAUUCUGGACAUAUUUUGCAAUGGUAUUCUCCAGCUUUGCCAUCUGUGGGAUGUUUGUUGCUUUUAUUGCAGGCUCCUUUGCAGUGUUAGGUGAUUGUAGUGCAUUAGUUAUGGCGGUUCUCUUAAUUUGUUGUUUCUUGUUUGCUCUGCAGUUCCCUCCCCUAAUUUCAGUAGAUUUACUAACUAUAUGACCUUUCAUCACUUGUCGUCUUGUAAUACUCAAUAGUACUUCAUUAUUGCAUGUGAAGUAUGGGUGCAGGAUAGGUUUAAUUAUAUGAUUUUCAUAAUUAUGAUAUAUCAAGUUAGAGAUUGUAAGCUCCAAUUUGUAUCAUAAAAGUUUCAGAGUGACUUGACCAUGGUAGGAGUAUCCAUCUGCAGCCCAGUAACAAUAGAUAUGAUCAUCCUCUUGGAGUUGAUGGUGUUUUUCAAUCGCAUGUAAGCAGAGUUCUUCUCUUGUUUGAAUUGCUGCUGAUGGACGGAGACAUUUCUCUCUUCUAUUUCCAACUAAUUGAAGAUGGUCGCUAUCCCAUUUUUCAACUGCUGUUAAAAUUUUACAUAGACCAAGAAUCAUCCGCAAUGAAGUUCUGGUUCUGAGCUCGGACCAAGAAUCUGAUCCAAAUUAAUGACUGGUCAAUAGAGUGGAGAACAGAUUCUUGAAGCAUAUGCUACUAUUGCUUCAGACUACAAGUUUCAGCAAUUUAGAUUAUUUAUUUUAAUAUUUAGUUUGAAUUCAACAAUCUUGAUAUCUGAUUUUGUUUAAUUUGUAACAGUAUUUGCUAAAAAAGAUGCACCAUUUCUCCCUAGAAAUCAUGUGAGAUUUUUCUCUAAAAAUAGCUUUGCACCACUGAAAGCCGAGCAUAAAACACAAAUCUCUCUAAUUUUUAGUUUUUCUCAACAGUUCUUCUAUUUAUAUAAGGCUGAUAAGAAAGCAUGCAAUGAUAAUAUUAUGCUCUUUUUCGGAUUUCUUUUCUCGUACACAGAGAUUUUCACUUGCUAAAAUCUUAUCAAUUUUAGCACUCCAUUUAUUUUUGUAAAGAAGGGCUUGAAAGAUUUAAACGAAAGGUAUCUUCACUCCCACGUGGUAUAGUUUGAGAGAUUCGAACUUAAAAUAAAUUUAUCUAUGGUUUCCCUGUUUUCGAAACGAAAGGUAAAGGUUAAACAGCAGGAAAGGAAGAGGUCCCGUAGGAAGUAAAUUAAUCAUCAUGCUAGCAUUUUCAACUUGUCCGCUAUAGGGCUCUCCUUUCUUACAAAAGGUGGCAAAGUGCUCGCAAUUGUUUAUAGCAAUAUUAUAUUCGCCGAACCCACGUUCCAGUAGGUUAUAGGCCAUCUUCACAACUUCAUUACUUGGUUUUGAGUUUCCAAUAUAACACUGCAACUGCAAUUCGUCCUUUUUCAGGAAACAAUCAAGACAGGUUUUCACCACUCCAAGAUUCACAUUCUCUACAUGCCCACAUACUUGGCAAGCCUUGUUUUUAGACCACCUACUAGCAGUGGAGACUGAGCCCACAACGCCUCCAUUUGUUGUGGAGUUGAAGUGAAUCACGUACCUGACGCCAUUGACCUCACCCACAUAUAUUCCAUGGUGGGCGUAUCCAGCAGCCCUGCAAGCAUAGAUGUGAUCACCCACUUUGAGAUCGUCAGGAUCAACCACUACCAUUUCCCUCAAAUUAUCAAUUCUCUCAAUAUGUAGCUGAAUGGUGAUUGAUUGCUGUCUCUCAUUUUGUAAUUGCAGUUGCGUACACUUAUAUUGUCCUCCUACAGGCUUGAGUAAUUUACUUCUUAGAAUCUGAUCCUAAUGACUUUAGUCAGGAAUUUUUAUUAUUG
This 3840-nucleotide unclassified non-coding RNA is filed under the name Hevea brasiliensis (rubber tree). The record is from RNAcentral. Lineage: Eukaryota; Viridiplantae; Streptophyta; Magnoliopsida; Malpighiales; Euphorbiaceae.